Molecule: transfer RNA, 73 nt
Filed under: Bacteroides sp.
Lineage: Bacteria; Pseudomonadati; Bacteroidota; Bacteroidia; Bacteroidales; Bacteroidaceae
Also listed under: 1 other name
Description: tRNA-Met
Rfam family: tRNA
About the family: Transfer RNA (tRNA) molecules are approximately 80 nucleotides in length. Their secondary structure includes four short double-helical elements and three loops (D, anti-codon, and T loops).
Source: RNAcentral
CGCGGAGUGGAGCAGUUGGCAGCUCGUUGGGCUCAUAACCCAAAGGUCAUAGGUUCGAGUCCUGUCUCCGCAA